Molecule: long non-coding RNA, 5038 nt
Organism: Papaver somniferum (opium poppy)
Lineage: Eukaryota; Viridiplantae; Streptophyta; Magnoliopsida; Ranunculales; Papaveraceae
Exons: 2
Source: RefSeq, a predicted model, not a curated record
GUCUUUCAAAUCCUUAAGUUAAAAAAUUCAAGAUACUGGAUAGCUUCUAGAGAGUGCGAAUAAAUCGGCGAUCGACUCAGUGGCGGGAUCGGUAUACUGAGUUACUGAAUUCCCACCUAAAUUUGCACCAAUCUUCACUCUGAUCUUCUGUUUCUCUUUAAUUUUUCGACUUUAAUCUCAUCUGUUCAUGUAUUGAUUUGGGUUUCUCAAUUUCUUAUUAUUGCUUCCGUUUGUCGUUUGCCCUAACUUUCUUUCGAUGCUCUCAAAGUUUUCUUAAUUUCCCUGUGUUGUUUGUGUCAUGUCUAGCAGGUAUUGCUAGGUGGCGUUUGAUUCCCCUCUCUGCAAAAGGUUGGCCGUCUUAAGGGUUGUCCCAUGUUUGAAGGUUUUUUCUCCAUGAAGAUAAGGUUGAACCUUACUUUUGUUGAUAAAGGUGACAUUGAAAAUUGUUCUGCUCCAAAAGACGGGUGCUCUGAUCAAUAAUCCAUUACAAGUCCAUAAAUUACAAUUCAAUUUCAUUACUCAAAUGAAAGGUGGCGAUGUUCUGCUGAAUCCGUUUACACAUUGCAGAGGUAAUUCAUGCAAACCUGCUAUAAAACCCCUCAAUGUAAGGUCUGGGUUAAUACAUCUCAUAAUCUUUCUACUUCUUUGCAUUUCUCUCUAUUCAAUGUCAACUAGAAAAUAUGUUGGAGAAGUUUCUUAUCUAAUAGAGAGAAUUAGGAAAACUAAUCUCAAUGGAGAGGAUCAAAUUCAAAGAGUUAUUAGUUAUCCCAGCAUUAAGCUUCAACCUACCAUUCAAAAAUGGAUUGUUGGUUUGGUAGCAAAGAUUUUCUGUGAGCAUCCAAUGAGUCCAGACACUGUGGAACAAGAAGUUAUUAUGGCUUAGGGUCAGAAUCAUUUUCAAAUUAGACGUCAUGCUAGAUAUAUGUUUAUUUUCCAUUUUUUUGUUUGGGACUCUUAUAAUUAUGUUUUGGAAGAAGGCCCUUGGAGCUUUGAUGGUUAUCUUGCGGUUUUUAGAGAAUGGAGUACCUCUAUCAUUCCAGAAAAUUUGGAUUUUCAUGUGCAGCAAUUCUGGAUUGACAAUAAGAAGCUGCCUCCAGAAUUUCUAAAUGUUGAAGUGGAGAACCAAAUUGCUAGAAUUUUGGGCAACCCUCUCAAAUUAGUCCCCGAAGAUGGUAACCCAACUGACACUAAUGCUGUAAUGUUCUUAUUGAAUUUAAUAUCUCUAAUCCAAUGAUUAGAGGUUUGUUAACUGAAAAUGCUGCUAAAGUUACACAGUGGGUUCCAAUUUAUUUUCAAAGACAACCAAGAAAAUUAUGCCCUGCAUGUAUUUUUAUAGAUCAUAAUGAACUUCAGUGUCCAACCAAAGCUAAUGACGUUCAACCUAUUGGGAAUUAUAUAUUCAAGUUUGGAGAAGACUAUGGUGAAGUUAUUGAUCCAAGGCAGUAUAAUCCUAAAUACAAGCAGGGUGAACAGAUAUUGAUUUCUCCUAAGAAAUCUAGGGGCAAUAAGAGAAUGGAAAAGAAGCCUUUUCAAAUUCCUGAAGAUGGUUACCGUGUUUCUACAAUUUAUACUCAAUCAGGAGGAGAUAUUGCUGAAAAUUCAACUGCCAGAAGACCCAAAAGAGCUCGUGGCAGUCCUGGUAGCAGUAGUCAAGGAAGUCAGCAAGUAGAUCAAGUCUUUUCCGAGCAUCAAUUCCAAUAAGAACAAGUGGCCAAUGAUUAUUAGGAUGAAUCUUAUCCCCAAGAGUAUAAUGGGAUGCAUCCAAGCUAUUACAGAGCUUAUCCUCUAAUUGGAGACUGGGACAACCUAAUUAUUCAGCAAGCAACUAACCAUACAUCAGAGCAGGAGAGUCAGGUUUCUUUUCAUCUCAAACUCAACUCUCAAUCUCCUUUUUUCUAUGAGUAUACUAUACAUAUUCCUUUUCUUAUUUUUGACAACCUAAUCAGUAUGAAGAUAUUAACAUGGAAUGUUCAGGGAAUAGGUAAUAAACACACUAGACAACAUCUUAAAGACUGUAUUUUCAAUUACAACCCUGAUAUAAUUUUCUUAUCUGAGACCAAAAACAAGGCUGUUAAUACACAUAAAUAUCUGGUUCCUAUGGGGUAUCCUAAUCUUGUUUAUAAAGACACUAUUGAGAAAGCUGGUGGAAUAGCUUUUAUGUGGAAAGAUGGAUUAGAAUUAUAAAUAGUAGACCAAUCUAGUAACAUGAUGCAUGUUAUUGUUAAUUUUGGAGUGUAGAAGCUGGAAUGGUUUCUUUCAUGCAUAUAUGGUUCUACUCAUAGUGGUGAGAGGAAGGCUUAAUGGGGAUAUUUGCAAGAUCUUGGACAUGAUAUGCAUAUACCAUGGGUGAUUUUAUGAGAUUUAAAUUUAACCCUCCACUUUUCUGAAAAACAUAAUUUUUCUACUAAUUCUUCUCCCUCAUUUCAGAUUGUUCAUGAUACUAUUGAUAUGCAUGGACUUAGAGAUGUCCCUUUUACAGGAAAUCCAUUUACUUGGUCUAAUCAUAGGAAAUCUACUAAACUAGUCAAAACCAGGAUAGAUAGAGCUUUAGCUAACAAUAAUUGGUUUACUAGUUUCAAAGAUAGUGUUAUUAACAAUCUCCUUCCUCAUGGGUCUGAUCAUGCUCCUAUUCCUUUGCAUAUUCAUCUUCCAGACAAAACCAAUAAUAAACCUUAUAGAUUUUAUAAAGUUUGGCUUUCUAAUCCUCUGUGUAAAGAAGUUUUGAGAAAAAGUUGCCAUUUAGAAGAAAGCCUGCAUCUUAACGAGCUUCCAAAGAAGAUUCAACAAACUACUGAAGCCUUGAGGGAUUGGAAUCAUAAGUCCUUUGGUCAUGUCAAAACUGAAAUUAGAAGAACUCAGAAUCUACUACAAAAAGCUAAGAAUUCUCCAAGACAAGAUACAACUCUCAUAAAAUCUCUUGAAGAUCAGUUAAACAAAUGGUAUGACAAAAGUGCUCAAAUUACUUAUCAUCAAUCAAGGGAACAAAUUCUUUGGUUUGAUGAUAGAAACAACAAGUAUUUCCACAAUAAAGCUAAUUUCAGAAGAAGAAGAAAUCAUAUAGAUACUCUUCAGGAUUCAAAUGGUAAUUGGAUCUCAAACAAAGAAGAAAUUUAGAAGUUACUUCUUAAGCAUUUUAGGGACAUCUAUACUUCUUCUAAUCCAACUAUGGAUGCUGAUCUUCUCAAUCUUAUUCAACCUUGUGUGACAGAAAAAUAAAAUCAAAUGCUUAUUAAGAUUCCUUCAUCUGAUGAAAUUAAAGAAGCUAUGUUUCAGAUUAAUCCAUGGGGUGUUCCAGGUCCUGAUGGAUAACAAGUGGAUUCUAUCAGCAAUUUUGGGAUAUUGUAGAAACCAAUAUUGUUAGUCUUGUGCAAAACUUUUUUAUGACAGGUCAAUUUCCUUCCCAAAUCAAUCACACCUUCCAAGUCCUAAUUCCCAAGCUAGGAAUAUCCACAAAACCUAGAGAUUGUAGACCAAUUAGCCUCUGUAAUAUCACCUAUAAGUUAAUCACCAAAAUACUAGUUGUUCAGGAAAUGGUACACUACAUGAAGAAAACACUUUUUUAUACGGGAGUGGUUGGUAUAAAGCUGGAUAUGGAAAAAACCUUUGAUAGAAUGGAGUGGAGCUUUCUUCAUCAAAUUCUUCUUCAUUUGGGUUUCUCUACAAAAUGGUGUCAACUGAUCAAUUACUGUGUCAGUACUGCUUUCAUUUCUAUGCUGCUGAAUGGUGUUCCAAUGGAGCCAAUAAUCCCCACAAGAGGGCUUCGACAAGAUGAUUGCAUCAUCUUCACAAGGGGUAAUACAAGAUCAAUGGUUAAUCUGGGGGAAUCUAGUGUUUUUUUUCAGUAAACAUAUGAACAGGGAUUCUUGUGAAGAGGUAACUAGAAAGCUGCAGAUGAGAGAAUUAGAUUUGAAUGAAAAGUAUUUGGUUACUAAUUUUAUUAUACCAAGAAGCAGAUAUAAUUGUCUGGAUCCUUCUAUUAAUAAAAUAUAAAAUAGAUUACCAGGUUGGCAAGGAAAACUCAUUAAUCAAGCAGGUAGAGCUGUCCAAAUCCAGACUACUCUAAGUACCAGUGUUCAAUAUCAAAUGGGUGUUUUUAUGCUACCUGAUAAAACUCAUAAGAAGAUUAACCAAAUUCAAAGGAGAUACUUCUGGAAUCACAAAUAAAAUAAGGGAUUUAAUCCUAAGUCUUGGUCUUCAGUCUGUACAAGUAAAAGGUUUGGGGGAUUGAGAUUCAAAGAUUCAAAGAAAUUCAACAUAGCCAUGUUAACUAAACUAGCAUGGAGAUUACUGACUCAACCUCAGAAGGAAUGGGUGAAGGUUUUAAAUGCAAUUCAUGUCAAGAAUAAAGAUCCACUAGUAGAAGACAUUUCAAGGAAAAAUUCUUCUUGGGUUUGGCAGAGUAUUCAGCAUGGUUUAUAAGUCUUGAAGCAAUAUUAAAUCUGGGAAAUUGGUGAUGGGAAGUCCUAUUAAAGCUCUUCAACAUAACUGGUUUCCAAUUUCAUAUAAUAGUAAUACAAAUGCAAGGAGUUCUUAUCUAAGCAAUGAUACUAGGGUUGCUGAUUUAACGGAUACAGAAAAGAAAACUUGGAACAUACAACUUCUGAGUCAAUACUUCAAUCCAGAUCAGAUUAAAGAAAUUAUGACAAUUAAAAUUCCAUCAAAAGGGGAAGAUACUUUGAGAUGGUCUCUUCCUUAUUGUGGAGCUUUUACAACCAAAUAUGUAUAUAAUGAGUUGUCUAAGAAUAAUGCCGGUAUUUCCCAUCUUCAUCAAAUGGAAGGUAAAGGCUGGCUUAAGUUAUGGAAUAUGGAAGUACCUCACAAAAUCCAAAUGUUCUUAUGAAAAUGCUGCCAUGACAUUCUUCCAGUUAAAAAGAAACUAUUCAGCAAAAAUAAUAAUAUGGAUCAAUUGUGUCCUUUGUGUCUUAAUUCUGAGGAGACUAGCACACAUCUCUUUCUUCAUUGUCAGUUUGCUGAAGUCAUAUGGUUUGGAAUCUAUGCUGCCCUCUUACAAUCUUUAAAAGAGAAAAUUUUUGUUAUA